AAAGCGGAGGAAAAGAAACCAACAGGGAUUGCCCUAGUAACGGCGAGUGAAGCGGCAACAGCUCAAAUUUGAAAUCUGGCUUCGGCCCGAGUUGUAAUUUGCAGAGGAAGCUUUAGGCGCGGCACCUCCUGAGUCCCCUGGAACGGGGCGCCACAGAGGGUGAGAGCCCCGUAUAGUUGGAUGCCUAGCCUGUGUAAAGCUCCUUCGACGAGUCGAGUAGUUUGGGAAUGCUGCUCAAAAUGGGAGGUAAAUUUCUUCUAAAGCUAAAUACCGGCCAGAGACCGAUAGCGCACAAGUAGAGUGAUCGAAAGAUGAAAAGCACUUUGAAAAGAGGGUUAAAUAGCACGUGAAAUUGUUGAAAGGGAAGCGCUUGUGACCAGACUUGCGCCGGGCUGAUCAUCCGGUGUUCUCACCGGUGCACUCUGCCCGGCUCAGGCCAGCAUCGGUUCUCGCGGGGGGAUAAAGGCCCUGGGAACGUAGCUCCUCCGGGAGUGUUAUAGCCCGGGGCGGAA
RNAcentral lists this ribosomal RNA (512 nucleotides) under Acrophialophora fusispora. RNAcentral describes it as "partial large subunit ribosomal RNA". It matches the Rfam family "Eukaryotic large subunit ribosomal RNA", at positions 47 to 571 of the family's 3401-position model. The record is from RNAcentral. Lineage: Eukaryota; Fungi; Ascomycota; Sordariomycetes; Sordariales; Chaetomiaceae.